UCCGGUUUGGCACCGGCAGUCUCCAAUGAGUCCCCGGCAUUACCCGCUGGCAACAUCGGACAGGGGUUGCGCUCGUUGCGCCACUUAACCCAACAUCUCACGGCACGAGCUGACGACAGCCAUGCAGCACCUGUGCCGGCUCCCGAAGGAGCCCCGUGUUUCCACGGGUUUUCCGGUGUAUGUCAAGCCUUGGUAAGGUUCUUCGCGUUGCGUCGAAUUAAGCCACGUGCUCCGCCGCUUGUGCGGGCCCCCGUCAAUUCCUUUGAGUUUUAGCCUUGCGGCCGUACUCCCCAGGCGGGGCACUUAAUGCGUUAGCUGCGGCACGGACAACGUGGAAUGUUGCCCACACCUAGUGCCCACCGUUUACGGCGUGGACUAC
Molecule: unclassified non-coding RNA, 379 nt
Filed under: uncultured Actinomycetes bacterium
Lineage: Bacteria; Bacillati; Actinomycetota; Actinomycetes
Description: uncultured actinobacterium contains 16S-23S intergenic spacer region
Source: RNAcentral